RNAcentral lists this transfer RNA (72 nucleotides) under Ictidomys tridecemlineatus (thirteen-lined ground squirrel). Its description in RNAcentral is "Spermophilus tridecemlineatus (thirteen-lined ground squirrel) tRNA". It matches the Rfam family "tRNA". Rfam says of the family: Transfer RNA (tRNA) molecules are approximately 80 nucleotides in length. Their secondary structure includes four short double-helical elements and three loops (D, anti-codon, and T loops). The record is from Rfam by way of RNAcentral. Lineage: Eukaryota; Metazoa; Chordata; Mammalia; Rodentia; Sciuridae.
AGGGUUGUGGCUCAGUGGUAGAGCACUUGCCUAGCAUGUGUGAGGCACUGGGUUCAAUCCUCAGCACCACAA